Molecule: ribosomal RNA, 497 nt
Filed under: uncultured bacterium
Lineage: Bacteria
Description: partial 16S ribosomal RNA
Rfam family: Bacterial small subunit ribosomal RNA
Source: RNAcentral
GAUGAACGCUGGCGGCGUGCCUAAUACAUGCAAGUCGAGCGAACAGACGAGGAGCUUGCUCCUCUGAUGUUAGCGGCGGACGGGUGAGUAACACGUGGAUAACCUACCUAUAAGACUGGGAUAACUUCGGGAAACCGGAGCUAAUACCGGAUAAUAUAUUGAACCGCAUGGUUCAACAGUGAAAGACGGUCUUGCUGUCACUUAUAGAUGGAUCCGCGCCGCAUUAGCUAGUUGGUAAGGUAACGGCUUACCAAGGCAACGAUGCGUAGCCGACCUGAGAGGGUGAUCGGCCACACUGGAACUGAGACACGGUCCAGACUCCUACGGGAGGCAGCAGUAGGGAAUCUUCCGCAAUGGGCGAAAGCCUGACGGAGCAACGCCGCGUGAGUGAUGAAGGUCUUCGGAUCGUAAAACUCUGUUAUUAGGGAAGAACAAAUGUGUAAGUAACUAUGCACGUCUUGACGGUACCUAAUCAGAAAGCCACGGCUAACUACGUG